UGCUUUGGAAGCAAAACUGCUCAAACUACAGAAAGGAACGGCUUUGGAUUUGGAGAAGAGCUUUUGUUUCCCUUGCAACUCUAGUUUAAAAAACUUGGGGAGUGGAGCCAAGCCAGCCUGAUAACCGGAACAUGUCCAGUAUAACCGGAGAACCAACUCGCACGACCUGAGGCGGUUUGGGGGGACAAACUGACAACUUUGCCUAAGAUGGCUGCGGCCUAUUUACCAGGCUGAUGCUCGGUUAUGUAACAGAAAUGAAGGCCGUCAGCAAACCCAUUUUAACCUUCCUUCAAAAAGCACUAAAUAGUACCUACUGUACUCCCGAGAAGACAUGAAAGGUAUUUAAAAAGCUACUAAAAAAUUCCCAAGUAAUGGCCCUGAGUUCAGGGGAGUAGUUUGCUCUACUUAAAUGUGAUUUUGUUUUUGCCUAAAUCUUCAGCUCAAGUCUACUUGCUAGUAAGUUUUGGAUAUUUCUGGGUACACAGUCGAUAAUUAAGUUGCCUGCACUGUCACGAAAAAUCUAGAAAGUCUUGGCAAGCUUGGUUCUAUUUUUAACCCGUCCGAGGGACUAUUUUUGCUUCCCUCACAAAGGCGGCGGAGGGUUAUUGAGGCCGCGGUGUGCUUCGGCUUUCGGCUAUAAAUACGCCUCUCCGGGGGCUCUGCGGCAGGCUUUCAGGCAGCGAGCGCAGAGACGGCUGGGGAGGCAGGAGGCCCUGCUUGAGGAGACGCAGAUAAGUUUUUCUCUUUAAAAAGAAACCUAGGAAUGAAUACAGUUCUUUAGGAAGUGUAAAUAGUGCUAAAACUUAAUGAAUUGCAUAGCAUUAAAUUAUUAUAGUAAUCUUAAAAAGAACUUAAAGGGAAAAUAAUGAAGACCUUAAAGAGUAGCUUAAGAAAGAAAAAGCUUUUUCUAGAACCAGACGGAGGCUAGGAGGUGAAACUUCUUAAUGGAGUAGAGAAAACCUAGUUUUUAAAGAAAUUGCUUAAAAGGACGGCAAAGUCCGGGAUUCAAAAAAUCCGUAAAUCGAAGGGCAGCCAUUUAGGUUGACGUUAAAAUGUAAAUGACCUAAAUAGAGCUUAAGUGUCUUUUUUUAAAAAAGCAAGUUGUAGGUGACUUUUGUCUUUUAAAAAGAUCAACUUUAAGGUGAUUUAAGAGCCCUUCAAAUUAAUGGCGCAGUGAUGAUUGCAUCAUUUGCAACCUAGAUCUUAAAGUAGGACUUCCUAAAAGCUGACAAAUAACUAGGAGUGGUAGGAUGAAAAUUUGGAGAGAUUAGAAAAGAAGUGGAGAACUCAGAAGACAGAAGUACAGGAAGGUGAAGACUUAAAGACAAGUACAGGAAGGUGAAGAAAAGAUUUAGAGAAGAUAGGAAAAUUGGAAGAAAAAUUACACGCCUUUUAGAAGACAGAAAAAUACUAUAAACCCUUGAAGGCAGGAAGCAGAAGAAAAGAUAGAGAAACUAGAAAAACAAGGCAACUAAGGUCUCAUAUACAAGUUGAGAAAGCCAGAAGUUGGAAACGAGGUGGAAAAUGCGGGCAGGGCAAGUAUUUCAGGUAGAAAAUGGAAAACAAGCUAGGACAACUAUUGAAUACAAGCGCACAAGAUAGACCUCAAAAAAGAAGAUAGGAAAGUCUAAGCCAAAAAAUUGGAUAAAGUACAAGAAAAGAAAAGCUAAGGAGGAAACUAAUUUUUAAAUUCUUAGUGGAAUUUCUCCUGAAAGCCCAUGAAUUUAAAUUCUGGUGGUACAGAAGCUAGAGUUGAGAAGAUGAGGGUGUUAAAACUACUGUAGCCCGGGACCAACUUAGAAGAAUUAACCCGGAGCUAGAAGGGAAAGUUGAAAAUCCGUUGUACAACUUUUGCUGCUAAAAGGACUGAAGUUACUUAAGAACCCAGGUAGAAUAUUUCUGGAGAGUUAAAAAUGUGAGUUUAAAUACAGUAGCUUUUAGUGUCUUGGAGAAUUUAAAGAACUUCUCAUAACAAGUAAUUCAAGAUCAAGAAUUAACUACCACCUUAACGUUUUCACUUUGGACUCUGAGCUAAGCUUUUUUAAAUCCUGAGGACUAGCGUUAAUUGGCAGCUGACCCAGGUACUACGCAGAAGUGGAUUCAGUGAAUCUAGGAAGACAGGAGCCGCAGACAGGAUUCCAGGAGCCAGUGUCGUGAAGCUAGGACUGAGGAGCGAGCUGCAGCAGUUCGUGGUGAAGAUAGGAAGGAGAGCGAAGUCCGGGAGCCAGUGCGGUUUGGUGAAGGAAGGAAGCUAGGAAGAAGGAAGGAGCCCUAACGAUUUGGAGGUGAAGCUAGGAGAGGAUUCCAGGAAGCAGGAGCCCGUGCGAUGUGGUGAUGAAGCCAGCGAGCGGCUGGGCUUGGCGACCACGCGAGGCGGCGAGCAGGCGGUGAGGAGGAUAGAUAGAGGAUCCUAGAGCAGCGUCCCGGUGCGAGGCCGCAGGGAGAGCGAGUGUGCGGGAAAACCCCGCGAGGUCGGCUAACGUGCUUUUGUAACUGCAGUAUGGUAACGUUUUACUUGCCUUUCUCCUGGUAUCGGGGGCGUUGAGUACUUAAGCGCUGAGGGAUUUACGGGGUGUAGGCCGAUUUCCGGGUGUUGCAGGUUUCUCUCUUUCAGGCUUGUUUUCUCCUCUUGUCUGAAGCUUUUGAGGGCAGACUUCCAAGGCCCGGAGGAAUGGUAGAUGGCAAGUUUUUUUGUUUUUAACCAAUUGGAGGGAAACCAAAUGAAUUUGUUAGAACAGCCUUGAGACCAGUUUUAUAAGUUCUUAUUUUUAGUUGGGGAUAAUGAAGCCUUUCAGUUUUGUGAAUAGAUGACCUAUUUUUCUUCCCUUACCCCUAUUAAAGUUUAUACUGAAUGUGGAGUUGGGUGUGUAGCGGGGGGGGGGGGGGUUUGGGAUGGGGGGCAAAAUAUGUUUUAAGUUUUUUUCCCCUUAGGUCUGUCUAGAGUCCCAAAGGCAAAUGACUCAAGGUAACAGAAAAAAAGAAAAUCCAGUAUCAGGAUAAUCAGAGCACCACAGGUUUACAGUUUCUAGAAAUAGAGCACGAGCAGCCCUCACUUUACAGUUCUGUGGCGGAGCUGUCCAUUGGAGAAUGGCUGGUAGUUCUCUUUUUUCCACCCCUUUAUCAAAUUCUUAAUACAUAAUCCUUUAAAUUCAUUAUAUUUACUUACUGUUUUGGGGUGGCCUUACCAGGGAAGAGGGUGGGGGAGAAAAUUUUCUUUCUAAGAUUUUCCACAGAUGCUAUAGUACUAUUGACAAACUGGGUUAGAGAAGGAUUGUACUGCUACGCUGUUGGCACGAACACCUUCAGGGAUUGGAGCUGCUUUUUUCCUUGGAAGCGUAUUCCCAGUUGAAGCUGAAAUGGUACAGCACAGUGCAGCUUUGGUUCAUGUUCAAUCUUCUCAGGAGCACUCAGAAGAGCUUGACUAGGCCAAAUGUUGAAGUUACGUUUACGUUUUCAAGUAAUGUGACCUUUAACUUUUAUUAAAGGGGAGGGGCAAAGUUUGGCAGUUGGCCUUAGCGUGUUAAUGGUUGGGAUUUGGGAGGGCUGGGGUUAGGUAAUUGUUUAGUUUAUGAUUUCAGAUAACUCAUGCCAGAGAACUUAAGUACUUAGGAUGGAAAAACUAAAGAAAUCUCAACUUCCAAGUUGGCAAGUAACUCCCAAUCCUCUAGUUUUUGUUUUCCCCCAGUUUUUGAAUUGGGCAGCUGGGGAAGUUCAUGAAGAUCCACUGGAUUCAGCGUGUAGGGCCUGGGGAAGGAAAGUAUAGGACUGGGGGUUGGUCUAGCCCGUUGGCUGACUUAGAUAAUAAUACCUUGGGAAUUUUUUUUUUAAAUGGCUAAAGUUGUUUGGAUAUGGUAGUGUGUGGUUCUCUUUUGGAAUUUUUUUCAGGUGAUUUAAUAUAACUUAAUACUACUAUAGGAGCUUCAGAGCAAAGGAAGUGGCUUAAUGAUCCUGAAGGGAUUUCUUCUGAUGGUAGCUUUUAUAUUAUCAAGUAAGAUUCUAUUUUCAGUUGUGUAUAAGCAAGUUUUUUUUAGUGUAGGAAAAGUAUUUUGCCUUUGUAUGACUGCAAACAAGAUGUUAAGGUAUGCUUCAAAAUUACUGUAAAUUGUGUAUUUUAAUCAUUUCUGAUAAAAAGAGGGUGGGGUUUUGUGGAUGAGGGAGGGGAAACCUUUUUUUUUCUGUAGCCUUUUUUCAGAUAACAACUUCUGAGUCAUAACCAGCCUGGCAAUAUGAUGGCCUAGAUGGAGAGGGAACAGCUCCUUGGUGAAUGAUAAGUAAAGGCAGAAAAGAUUAUAUUUCAUAUCUCCAUGGGGGAAAAAGCAUAACCCUGAGAUCCUUACUACUGAUGAACGCGUUGUCUGCAUAUGCAAAAAAAAAAAAUUAAGCAAAUGAAACUACCAAUUUAAAGUUAAUGGAAAAAAAAGAAAAAUAAAGAUAAUGGAAUCUACCAUUUUAAAAGUUAUGGCCUAUCAAGCUAUACCCACCAAAAAAAGAAUUGAUGAGAAAUAAUAUAAUGAAUUGAUGAGCAAUACGACGAAGAUCAAAUGUCCAUCUCAAAAUACUGCUUUUACAAAAGCAGAAUAAAAAAUGAAAUGAAAAUGAUAAUACCAACAUUAAUCCUGGAAUAAAAGAAGCUGAAAUAAUUCAGAGUGGGAUCAAGUGGAUUAAGAGGAGGCUGUGCUGUUUGCCAAUCUUUCGUUUGCCUCAGACAGGUUUCUCUUCAUUAUCAGAAGAGUUGCUUCAUUUCAUCUGGGAGCAGAAAACAGCAGGCAGCUGUUAACAGAUAAGUUGAACUUGAAUAUGCAGUAUUGCAUGUUAGGGCUAAGUGCUUAUUUUUAAUAAAAGCUGUGGAGGUCUUAAGUAUUGAACAUGGCUGUUUGUCCUGAUCCCUUUCCUAAGGGAUUCUAGGAUUGUGAGGGAUUUUCCUAUCUAGCCUUUAAAAGUACACAGGACUCGUACCUGUGGCUUGCAUGAUGGGAUAGCAUACCUCACUCAGGCCAAGUAAUCUUUAAAAGCCUUGAAAGGUAGUACCUUAAUCGUAAGACAGUAUUUAUAAAACUAAGAAUUGGUUGAGCAUUGACUCUCUUAAA
Molecule: long non-coding RNA, 5087 nt
Organism: Mirounga angustirostris (Northern elephant seal)
Lineage: Eukaryota; Metazoa; Chordata; Mammalia; Carnivora; Phocidae
Exons: 2
Source: RefSeq, a predicted model, not a curated record